UACGGGGGGGGCAAGCGUUGUUCGGAAUUACUGGGCGUAAAGCGUGCGCAGGCGGUUUUGUAAGCCAGAUUUGAAAUCCCCGGGCUUAACCUGGGAAUGGCAUUUGGGACUGCAAGGCUCGAGUGCGGCAGAGGAGACUGGAAUUCCUGGUGUAGCAGUGAAAUGCGUAGAUAUCAGGAGGAACACCGAUGGCGAAGGCAGGUCUCUGGGCUGACACUGACGCUCAUGCACGAAAGCGUGGGGAGCAAACAGG
Molecule: ribosomal RNA, 253 nt
Filed under: uncultured bacterium
Lineage: Bacteria
Description: partial 16S ribosomal RNA
Rfam family: Bacterial small subunit ribosomal RNA
Source: RNAcentral